AUUGAACGCUGGCGGCAUGCCUUACACAUGCAAGUCGAGCGGCAGCGCGGGGGCAACCCUGGCGGCGAGCGGCGAACGGGUGAGUAAUGCAUCGGAACGUGUCCUCUUGUGGGGGAUAACCAGUCGAAAGACUGGCUAAUACCGCAUGAGAUCGAGAGAUGAAAGCGGGGGACCGCAAGGCCUCGCGCGAGAGGAGCGGCCGAUGCCCGAUUAGCUAGUUGGUGGGGUAAUGGCCUACCAAGGCGACGAUCGGUAGCUGGUCUGGGAGGACGACCAGCCACACUGGGACUGAGACACGGCCCAGACUCCUACGGGAGGCAGCAGUGGGGAAUUUUGGACAAUGGGGGCAACCCUGAUCCAGCCAUGCCGCGUGUGUGAAGAAGGCCU
RNAcentral lists this ribosomal RNA (387 nucleotides) under uncultured bacterium. RNAcentral describes it as "bacterial SSU rRNA". It matches the Rfam family "Bacterial small subunit ribosomal RNA", at positions 28 to 417 of the family's 1533-position model. The record is from RNAcentral.